GAUGAACGCUGGCGGCGUGCUUAACACAUGCAAGUCGAACGGAAAGGCCCAAGCUUGCUUGGGUACUCGAGUGGCGAACGGGUGAGUAACACGUGGGUGAUCUGCCCUGCACUUCGGGAUAAGCCUGGGAAACUGGGUCUAAUACCGGAUAGGACGAUGGUUUGGAUGCCAUUGUGGAAAGUUUUUUCGGUGUGGGAUGAGCUCGCGGCCUAUCAGCUUGUUGGUGGGGUAAUGGCCUACCAAGGCGUCGACGGGUAGCCGGCCUGAGAGGGUGUACGGCCACAUUGGGACUGAGAUAUGGCCCAGACUCCUACGGGAGGCAGCAGUGGGGAAUAUUGCACAAUGGGCGCAAGCCUGAUGCAGCGACGCCGCGUGGGGGAUGACGGCCUUCGGGUUGUAAACUCCUUUCGCUAGGGACGAAGCGUUUUUGUGACGGUACCUGGAGAAGAAGCACCGGCUAACUACGUG
RNAcentral lists this ribosomal RNA (468 nucleotides) under uncultured bacterium. RNAcentral describes it as "partial 16S ribosomal RNA". It matches the Rfam family "Bacterial small subunit ribosomal RNA", at positions 28 to 507 of the family's 1533-position model. The record is from RNAcentral.